GUCAAGAUGGCCGAGUGGUUAAGGCGCCAGACUUAAGUUCUGGUCUUCAAAGAAGGCGUGGGUUCGAACCCCACUCUUGACA
RNAcentral lists this transfer RNA (82 nucleotides) under Daphnia pulicaria. Its description in RNAcentral is "tRNA-Leu". It matches the Rfam family "tRNA". From Rfam's summary of the family: Transfer RNA (tRNA) molecules are approximately 80 nucleotides in length. Their secondary structure includes four short double-helical elements and three loops (D, anti-codon, and T loops). The record is from RNAcentral. Lineage: Eukaryota; Metazoa; Arthropoda; Branchiopoda; Diplostraca; Daphniidae.